CCUACGGGUGGCAGCAGUGGGGAAUAUUGCACAAUGGGGGAAACCCUGAUGCAGCGACGCCGCGUGAGCGAAGAAGUAUUUCGGUAUGUAAAGCUCUAUCAGCAGGGAAGAAGAAUGACGGUACCUGACUAAGAAGCUCCGGCUAAAUACGUGCCAGCAGCCGCGGUAAUACGUAUGGAGCAAGCGUUAUCCGGAUUUACUGGGUGUAAAGGGAGCGUAGGCGGUGCUAUAAGUCUGAUGUGAAAGCCCGGGGCUCAACCGCGGGACUGCAUUGGAAACUGUAGGACUGGAGUGUCGGAGGGGUAAGUGGAAUUCCUAGUGUAGCGGUGAAAUGCGUAGAUAUUAGGAGGAACACCGGUGGCGAAGGCGGCUUACUGGACGACAACUGACGCUGAGGCUCGAAAGCGUGGGGAGCAAACAGGAUUAGAUACCCUGGUAGUC
This 441-nucleotide ribosomal RNA is filed under the name uncultured bacterium. Its description in RNAcentral is "bacterial SSU rRNA". It matches the Rfam family "Bacterial small subunit ribosomal RNA", at positions 338 to 795 of the family's 1533-position model. The record is from RNAcentral.